Molecule: ribosomal RNA, 425 nt
Filed under: uncultured bacterium
Lineage: Bacteria
Description: partial 16S ribosomal RNA
Rfam family: Bacterial small subunit ribosomal RNA
Source: RNAcentral
GUGGGGAAUAUUGCACAAUGGGGGAAACCCUGAUGCAGCAACGCAGCGUGGAGGAUGACACAUUUCGGUGCGUAAACUCCUUUUAUAUAGGAAGAUAAUGACGGUACUAUAUGAAUAAGCACCGGCUAACUCCGUGCCAGCAGCCGCGGUAAUACGGAGGGUGCAAGCGUUACUCGGAAUCACUGGGCGUAAAGAGCGUGUAGGCGGAUAUAUAAGUCAGAAGUGAAAUCCAAUAGCUUAACUAUUGAACUGCUUUUGAAACUGUAUAUCUAGAAUGUGGGAGAGGUAGAUGGAAUUUCUGGUGUAGGGGUAAAAUCCGUAGAGAUCAGAAGGAAUACCGAUUGCGAAGGCGAUCUACUGGAACAUUAUUGACGCUGAGACGCGAAAGCGUGGGGAGCAAACAGGAUUAGAAACCCGAGUAGUCC